UACGGGGGGGGCAAGCGUUGUUCGGAAUUACUGGGCGUAAAGGGCUCGUAGGCGGCCAACUAAGUCGGACGUGAAAUCCCCAGGCUCAACCUGGGAACUGCGUCCGAUACUGGAUGGCUUGAAUCCGGGAGAGGGAUGCAGAAUUCCAGGUGUAGCGGUGAAAUGCGUAGAUAUCUGGAGGAAUACCGGUGGCGAAGGCGGCAUCCUGGACCAACACUGACACUGAGGAGCGAAAGCCAGGGGAGCAAACGGG
This 253-nucleotide ribosomal RNA is filed under the name uncultured bacterium. Its description in RNAcentral is "partial 16S ribosomal RNA". It matches the Rfam family "Bacterial small subunit ribosomal RNA", at positions 524 to 776 of the family's 1533-position model. The record is from RNAcentral.